CCUGUAAGAAACAGGUGUCCUUGACACGUGAGCACAGGCAAUUCUGGACGAUUCCAUCCACACAAAGUCUUUAUGAUGCUGUCUGUCCUCCCAGUCCUCAUCUACUCACUCUGCCCCUGUAGCUGAGGUGUGCCCUGAGGAGCAGUGCAGCUCCCACUAAAGACCCCUUUGUUAUGAGGUGAUAGCUGGUAAAGCUGCAGGCAAGGUCAGAAUCUAUGUCAUGCCAAGGUGACCUGGUGCUGUACAGGGCAGUGGAAAUAUGGCACAUGGGACACAACGGAUGUCAGGACAAAAUAUCUUGAAAGACAAGGUCCUUCUACAAGUGCUCCAAAUGCUGGUUGGCAUGGGUCAUGCCGGGGGUGGCCCAUAAGAUACAUGAAUACGGGAGACAAUUUCCAGUUGAGAGCGGAGUUGGACAACUAUGACAUCGUCCAAAAAACUGUGAAGCACAGUGGAGGAGGGAAUUCAGCAGGACAGACCCCAGACACGUGAAGUGCUCCAGAGACAUCAAAAGAUUAACAAAAAAUGAAGUAAUGAAGUUUGUUGGCUUGCCAUGAAGUUACUCUUCUUGUCUGUAAUUAAAAUUCUACAGCAACUCUGAGAACAUAAUUACAUUAUGCCCCGAACAUAACAUCAAAGGAAACCUG
Passer domesticus (house sparrow) is the source of this 647-nucleotide long non-coding RNA. RefSeq lists it as uncharacterized. The transcript is spliced from 3 exons. The record is from RefSeq and is a predicted model, not a curated record. Lineage: Eukaryota; Metazoa; Chordata; Aves; Passeriformes; Passeridae.